RNAcentral lists this long non-coding RNA (633 nucleotides) under Manihot esculenta (cassava). RNAcentral describes it as "long non-coding RNA (MESC_LNC005791)". Lineage: Eukaryota; Viridiplantae; Streptophyta; Magnoliopsida; Malpighiales; Euphorbiaceae. The record is from RNAcentral.
AACAUUUCUCAGUUGGUCAAAUUAUCCAACAAUAGUCAAUUUGUGAAGGGGGAAAAAACAUUACUCUUCUGACAAGGAAGUCUACCCAAGCCUGCCUCUCCUAAUCAUAGGUUCACAAGAAGCACAUGCUUGAAAAAAGUACUUGGAAAGAUGCAUCAAACAACAGAGGACCAACAUAACAGCAACUUGAAGCAGAUAAUAACAGUUCAGCUAACUGAUAUUCUAAUGGGGUUCAAAAAAAUUCCUCAAUUGUAUAUCUACUAUACUACUAUUUCAAAGGGCACAUUGCCACAAUCAUAAACAAGAAUAUCACUGGUCAAUAUAGAUGCCAUCAAUCCAUUUUGGUUUGCGCCAAUGAAAAAUAUAUUCUUGGGAAAAAUCUAUUCUUGGUUAUAGCUUGAUACAAACACAUGGGAUUUGCUAUUGACAGCACUGAAGGACAACAACAAAAUCUUGAAAUGGUAGGAUAGAGAAACUACUUACUCGGUAUAACCAUGGCCAUUUUCAUCCACACCAUAACCAGGAGAGUAUGAUCUGCGAAUGCGAUCACCAUCUUGCCCUGGUGGAGGACCCCUAGGAGACCUUAGAUGGUCAACAUGCCUUCUACCUGGGGAAGCAGAGUAGUCCCGCCGC